ACGGGGGAUGCAAGCGUUAUCCGGAUUUAUUGGGUUUAAAGGGUGCGUAGGCGGAUAUAUAAGUCAGUGGUGAAAGACUGUUGCUUAACGAUAGCAUUGCCAUUGAUACUGUAUGUCUUGAGUGUAGAUGAGGUAGGCGGAAUGUGUAGUGUAGCGGUGAAAUGCUUAGAUAUUACACAGAACACCGAUUGCGAAGGCAGCUUACUAAUCUACCACUGACGCUGAGGCACGAAAGCGUGGGGAUCAAACAGGAUUAGAUACCCUGGUAGUCCACGCCGUAAACUAUGAUCACUGGAUGUUUGCGAUAUAUUGUAAGCGUCUGAGUAAAAGCAUUAAGUGAUCCACCUGGGGAGUACGUCGGCAACGAUG
This 369-nucleotide ribosomal RNA is filed under the name uncultured bacterium. Its description in RNAcentral is "bacterial SSU rRNA". It matches the Rfam family "Bacterial small subunit ribosomal RNA", at positions 525 to 896 of the family's 1533-position model. The record is from RNAcentral.